RNAcentral lists this non-coding RNA (29 nucleotides) under Mus musculus (house mouse). Lineage: Eukaryota; Metazoa; Chordata; Mammalia; Rodentia; Muridae. The record is from RNAcentral.
GGAUAAGAGGAGACUAAUGACCUGCCAGA